ACGGGUGAGUAACGCGUGGGAAUCUACCCAUCUCUACGGAAUAACGCAUGGAAACGUGUGCUAAUACCGUAUACGUCCUUCGGGAGAAAGAUUUAUCGGAGAUGGAUGAGCCCGCGUUGGAUUAGCUAGUUGGUGGGGUAAAGGCCUACCAAGGCGACGAUCCAUAGCUGGUCUGAGAGGAUGAUCAGCCACACUGGGACUGAGACACGGCCCAGACUCCUACGGGAGGCAGCAGUGGGGAAUAUUGGACAAUGGGCGCAAGCCUGAUCCAGCCAUGCCGCGUGAGUGAUGAAGGCCCUAGGGUUGUAGAGCUCUUUCACCGGUGAAGAUAAUGAUGGUAACCGGAGAAGAAGCCCCGGCUAACUUCGUGCCAGCAGCCGCGGUAAUACGAAGGGGGCUAGCGUUGUUCGGAUUUACUGGGCGUAAAGCGCACGUAGGCGGACUAUUAAGUCAGGGGUGAAAUCCCGGGGCUCAACCCCGGAACUGCCUUUGAUACUGGUAGUCUUGAGUUCGAGAGAGGUGAGUGGAAUUCCGAGUGUAGAGGUGAAAUUCGUAGA
RNAcentral lists this ribosomal RNA (557 nucleotides) under uncultured bacterium. RNAcentral describes it as "bacterial SSU rRNA". It matches the Rfam family "Bacterial small subunit ribosomal RNA", at positions 102 to 694 of the family's 1533-position model. The record is from RNAcentral.